This 839-nucleotide ribosomal RNA is filed under the name Staphylococcus haemolyticus. RNAcentral describes it as "bacterial SSU rRNA". It matches the Rfam family "Bacterial small subunit ribosomal RNA", at positions 73 to 897 of the family's 1533-position model. Lineage: Bacteria; Bacillati; Bacillota; Bacilli; Caryophanales; Staphylococcaceae. The record is from RNAcentral.
AAGGAGCUUGCUCCUUUGACGUUAGCGGCGGACGGGUGAGUAACACGUGGGUAACCUACCUAUAAGACUGGGAUAACUUCGGGAAACCGGAGCUAAUACCGGAUAAUAUUUCGAACCGCAUGGUUCGAUAGUGAAAGAUGGUUUUGCUAUCACUUAUAGAUGGACCCGCGCCGUAUUAGCUAGUUGGUAAGGUAACGGCUUACCAAGGCGACGAUACGUAGCCGACCUGAGAGGGUGAUCGGCCACACUGGAACUGAGACACGGUCCAGACUCCUACGGGAGGCAGCAGUAGGGAAUCUUCCGCAAUGGGCGAAAGCCUGACGGAGCAACGCCGCGUGAGUGAUGAAGGUCUUCGGAUCGUAAAACUCUGUUAUUAGGGAAGAACAUACGUGUAAGUAACUAUGCACGUCUUGACGGUACCUAAUCAGAAAGCCACGGCUAACUACGUGCCAGCAGCCGCGGUAAUACGUAGGUGGCAAGCGUUAUCCGGAAUUAUUGGGCGUAAAGCGCGCGUAGGCGGUUUUUUAAGUCUGAUGUGAAAGCCCACGGCUCAACCGGGAGGGUCAUUGGAAACUGGAAAACUUGAGUGCAGAAGAGGAAAGUGGAAUUCCAUGUGUAGCGGUGAAAUGCGCAGAGAUAUGGAGGAACACCAGUGGCGAAGGCGACUUUCUGGUCUGUAACUGACGCUGAUGUGCGAAAGCGUGGGGAUCAAACAGGAUUAGAUACCCUGGAGUCCACGCCGUAAACGAUGAGUGCUAAGUGUUAGGGGGGUUUCCGCCCCUUAGUGCUGCAGCUAACGCAUUAAGCACUCCGCCUGGGGAGUACGACCGCAAGGGUUG